UACGUAGGGUGCGAGCGUUGUCCGGAAUUAUUGGGCGUAAAGAGCUCGUAGGCGGUCUGUCGCGUCGGUCGUGAAAACUUGGGGCUUAACCCUGAGCUUGCGGUCGAUACGGGCAUGACUGGAGUUCGGAAGGGGAGACUGGAAUUCCUGGUGUAGCGGUGAAAUGCGUAGAUAUCUGGAGGAACACCGGUGGCGAAGGCGGGUCUCUGGGCCGAUAUUGACGCUGAGGAGCGAAAGCGUGGGGAGCGAACAGG
Molecule: ribosomal RNA, 254 nt
Filed under: uncultured bacterium
Lineage: Bacteria
Description: partial 16S ribosomal RNA
Rfam family: Bacterial small subunit ribosomal RNA
Source: RNAcentral